RNAcentral lists this ribosomal RNA (229 nucleotides) under uncultured bacterium. Its description in RNAcentral is "partial 16S ribosomal RNA". It matches the Rfam family "Bacterial small subunit ribosomal RNA", at positions 568 to 796 of the family's 1533-position model. The record is from RNAcentral.
CGCGUAGGUGGUAUCGUGUGUCGGAUGUGAAAUCCCAUGGCUCAACUGUGGAACUGCAUUCGAAACUGCGGAACUAGAGUACAGGAGGGGAGAGCGGAAUUCUUGGUGUAGCGGUGAAAUGCGUUGAUAUCAAGAAGAACACCGGUGGCGAAGGCGGCUCUCUGGAAUGUUACUGACACUGAGGCACGAAAGCUGGGGGAGCAAACAGGAUUAGAUACCCUGGUAGUCC